AUUUGUCAGCCUGACAGAAUCAAGAGAAAUUCAUGUUUGAAUAACUUUGUUCCGUUCUGAAUGAAACUUCAUAAGAGGUGAGGUUGGGGCACCAAGUUCCAUGGAUGGCGAGCAGCAAACCUUGACAGAAAAUACAUAGGUAUGAAGGCACACUCCGGACCAAUCCAUAGGGCGGGGACUGCCAUUGGUGCUGAGAAGGAGAAAAAUGAGGCUAGUUUGUGUUUGGGGACCUUUGUGUACUAAGAUGACACCCAUUACAUUCACCAGAGUUUCAUCUCAUCAGUCAGGACAAGGCUUGAACCUCCGUCCCUGACGCAAGGAGGGCAAGGUUUAACUCACUGCGCCAUCAGGUGCUAAUGAUGUGGCUGUACAUUUCCACUUUAUUAUGACAAAAUGCGCCAGGCAAGUGGGGGAAGAAAAAUUCCAAAGAAUGAGCUAUGAUCAGCACAUGUGAUUUUUAAAAGAAUGAUUCAUCAGAAUCUCAAGAAUCCAAGGACUAACAGAACAUAAAGGCAAAAUACUGCAGAUGCUGGAAAUCUGAAACAAGAACAAAGAAUGCUGGAAAAACUCAGCAGGUCUGACAGCAUCUGUGAAGAGAAAGACAGAGUUAACGUUUCGAGUCUGUAUGACUCUGAAGAGUCAGCAUUUUUUGUUUCUGUUUGUGACUAACACAGCACAUUUGUUAUGCAUAAGUAACCAAUGUUGACGAAUUGCAAUGCUCGAAAAGAUACAGGGCCAAUGACUAGUAUGAAAGAGCUUCCAUCCAUGCUAACCCAUAUUCCAACACCCAGAAAUAGAAGGUGUCGGCCAUUUGGAACUUUGAUCUUGCUCCAUCAUUCACUAAGAUCAUGGCUGAUCUUCUACCUCAAAACCAUCUUCUUGUAUUAUUUGAUUGCACUUGAUUCCCUUCAUAUCCAAGAGUCUAUCAAUCUUUAUCUUGAAUAAACUGAACAUCCACAGAACUCUGGGAUAGAGAAUCCCAAAUAUACACACCCUUUAAGUGAAAGCAAUUCUCAUCUCAGGCCUAAAUGGUUGACGCCUUAUUCUGAGACUGGAAUCCUUAAUUUUGACUCCCGAGCCAGGGAAAACAGUCUCCCAGCAUCUACUAAAGAUUUUUUGUUUUAAUGAGAUCACUUCUCAUUCUUCUACACUUUUUAAAAUUCAUUUUCAGGAUGUGGGUGUCGCUGGCUAGGCCAUCCUUAAUUGCCCUUGAGAAAGUUGUGGUGAGCUGC
Carcharodon carcharias (great white shark) is the source of this 1232-nucleotide long non-coding RNA. RefSeq lists it as uncharacterized. NCBI's taxonomy places the organism in Eukaryota, Metazoa, Chordata, Chondrichthyes, Lamniformes, Lamnidae. The record is from RefSeq and is a predicted model, not a curated record. The transcript has 6 exons.